AACGAACGCUGGCGGCAGGCUUAACACAUGCAAGUCGAACGCCCCGCAAGGGGAGUGGCAGACGGGUGAGUAACGCGUGGGAACAUACCCUUUUCUACGGAAUAGCUCUGGGAAACUGGAAUUAAUACCGUAUACGCCCUACGGGGGAAAGAUUUAUCGGGGAAGGAUUGGCCCGCGUUGGAUUAGCUAGUUGGUGGGGUAAAGGCCUACCAAGGCGACGAUCCAUAGCUGGUCUGAGAGGAUGAUCAGCCACAUUGGGACUGAGACACGGCCCAAACUCCUACGGGAGGGGGCAGGGGGGGAGAGUGGAGAAGGGGCUCAAGUCUGAUCCCGCCAUGCCGGGUGAGUGAUGAAGGCGUUAGGGUAGUAAAGCCCUUUCACCGAUGAAGAUAAUGACGGUAGUCGAAGAAGAAGCCCCGGCUAACUUCGUG
Molecule: ribosomal RNA, 431 nt
Filed under: uncultured bacterium
Lineage: Bacteria
Description: partial 16S ribosomal RNA
Rfam family: Bacterial small subunit ribosomal RNA
Source: RNAcentral